GACGAGAAGAGAUGGAGGGUGCAACAGGGAACAGAAAGGAACUGGACAAAGCCAGAUAAAAAAAUCCCAAUAUAAUGUCCAUUGUGGGACUUUUUUUUAACUUAUUGAUUAAAUGUUAAGUUUAAUACCAAUAUUAUAUUAGGAUUUUUUAUCGGGAUUUAUCCAGUUCCUUUCGGUUCCCUGUUGCACCCUCCAUCUCUUCUCUUUU
Pelobates cultripes (western spadefoot toad) is the source of this 208-nucleotide non-coding RNA. The record is from the annotation of a GenBank genome assembly. Lineage: Eukaryota; Metazoa; Chordata; Amphibia; Anura; Pelobatidae.